RNAcentral lists this long non-coding RNA (5171 nucleotides) under Lactuca sativa (garden lettuce). RNAcentral describes it as "long non-coding RNA (LSAT_LNC000076)". Lineage: Eukaryota; Viridiplantae; Streptophyta; Magnoliopsida; Asterales; Asteraceae. The record is from RNAcentral.
AAAAUUGAAGGUAUAGGUUUUUUUUCACAGAUCCAUUCUACAUCGCUCCACCACCUUCGUCACCUCCAAUUGUUGUAUUGAUAUAUGUUUCUCUCUAUAUGAUUAAAUCUCAGUUUAUUACAAGUGGAGAUUCGUACUACACUUAUAAUUUCAGUUGUUUACUCAAAAUUUUGUGUUCUCUUGCCUUGCUUCAACCACAUGGAAGUGAAGAUCCUGUUUCCUGUUGUAGUUUCAUGCAAUUUUUUUGAACAUUCUCCAAACUUUUCUCCAUUUUCCUUUUGUCUGUCGGUUUUGAUACACCGAAAGAAAUGCAUACAAAUGUUUUUUCCAUUGGACCUAUCUUGAACACCAUACAAAGCCUCUACCAUUGUUCUCAAAAUGGUUUAAAUAUUAGUAAACGGUUCGAGAAGAUUCAUUGGCUUUUAAUCGAAAACUUGGUGUUCGAUGAAAUUACUUAAUGAGGUAACAAAUGUCUCCUUCACAUUUGAUCCAUUUAUAUUUUCAGUCAUAAAUCUUGCUUUUUUCCAUCGAUGCAUUGUAAAUGUAUGUUUUUAGCUUAAUAAAAUUUAUGGUUUUUGGCUUUACGCAUUGAGUUCAUGUUCAAGGAUAUGUCUGUAUAAGAUAUUACCAGUGAACUAUGAAAAGAACUUUUAAAAAUUGAAGAUUUUUGUUUCUAUAUGUUUCUAAAGAAAAAUGAAGAUGGGAUUUUGAUUCUGUUUUACCUUCUAAAGAUUUAUUGUGUCUUUCAAUUUUCAAACUCCCAUAAGACUCGAAUAGUAGGGGUAUUUUUUGUCAUUUCCUUUUUGGGUUUUGCAGAUGAAUGGAAAAACUUCCUUUCAUGUAUUGGACGCGUCGAAAAUACUCACUUAUCAAGAAUGAAGAAGAUAAUCUUGAACUCCGGUUUUGGGCAACAAUGAGAAACAUUGGUAUUUUUUUUUUCUGUUUUACUUAUAUUUAAUAAAUUUCAAACUUUGUUAAGUUUUGUAUGUUGUAUCAUUUACCUUUUGUUUAACCAUUUACGGUGUGAGGAAUUAUGAACUACAGUAAAAUUUUAAUGCUACAAGCUUAUCCGAAGAGGAUGACAGUUGAAUUUUGGGUUUUGAAAAUAUAUAUUUUUUUUAUUUAUUUCUUAAUGUAUUUUCUAAUACUUAUAUUAUGCUAGAUAUGGAAACUGUUGUUCCAACAACUGAACAUAAAGCACAAGAGCACAAGCUGAUCUAAAAUUCACAUACGUUGUCAUAUGUCAAAUUUAUGGAAACAAAAAGAAGAAAAACCAGAGGCUGUUGAUAUUGCAUUGUUAUUAUAAAAGUUAGAUAUAUAAAUGUUUCUGUUAUGAUUCUAUAUUCCUUACUGAUAUUUUAUAAUAUUACUAAUUGUUUGCUUUCAUUGACGAGGUGGAGAGUUUGACUGAUGGUAAACUGCACAAAAUGUUUUCUCUAAACUUGUGAAGUGUGACAUAAAUGGUAAAUACAAGGUCCAUAUUUUUCUAUGCUUAUUAAGGUGUAUUCAGAUAUUACAUACAUAUUUGUGAUUUCACGUAUGUAUUACUGAUUUAGUUUUUUCUUUUACAUCAUUGAGGCUUAAGUUGAGUUGAACUUUCAUAGGUGCUGGUACAACAACAACAUCGGUUCUUGCACGUGAUAUCAUGAAACCUUGUCUCUUAAGUGUAACUUCUGGUGCUAAUUCGAUCUUAGUAAAGAAAGGAAUCGACAAAACUGUAGAUGGUUUGGUUGACGAGCCGGUGUCUUUGUCAUUCUCUCAUCUAUUUGUUUAUUUUGACUAUUAUGCUAAGAAAAAUGCAAGUACAGUGCUACUAUCAGUAAUGUAUCUAGUUUUUUGCCCAUUAUAGGAAUGUACUUAAUGCGUUUUAUCUUGAAUAGUUAAUAGCUUGAUGAUAUAUGUAGACAAUAAAAAUAACAAUUUAAAAGNUUCAUGCAAUAAUAUCUUACAAUCAUUUCUUAUACUUGCUACUUUGAAAGCUUUUAUUAAUAACACAUUGUCUUUGAAAAGUCUUCCUAGUUACAACAUUCCACUUUUAUUGUUUUUUUUUUUUUUUUUUUUUUUUUUUUUUUUUUUUUUUUUUUUUUUUUUNCAUUUGUUGGAUACUUAAAUUUUUUUUAGAGGUUAACCACGGGUUGGCAGUCCAUACAUAAUUUAUAUUUCACAUUAGUUCUAAAAAAUUUAGGAAAAAGUAGAGAUCUUAAGAUUUAAUUUAUUCAUAUAUGAUUAGUCACUAAUCAUAUAUGGAUAAUUUGAAGAUCAUAUAUGAAUAAUUUAAAGGGAAUAUACAUAUUUGAAUAAUAAUAUAUGAUUUAAUUGAAACGGAAUAGUAAUACUCAUAUAUAAAUCAUAUAUGAUUACACUUUCCUUUAUGAUUAUUCAUAAAACAUUAUCAGGUAAUUGACUGGAGAUCUCCUUUUGUAUCUCUCUUUUAAAAAAACCCCAUUAGUGGGUGAUGUCUUUCAGGUUUGGAGCAUGUCGUGUCAUUCAUCUUGACCAGUUUUGUCGCAUCCCAUCCUGAUUUUCAACUUCAAUUGGUUGGCUACAAUUUGAAGAGAUUAUGGUCAUCGGUCUUGUCCUACUUCCAACACGCCCCCAUCCAAACCAAUUUUACCCAUAUAAUGAUAUUUUUCCAGUGAAGUCUCUACAUGGAUUUAAAACUACUUAUCGAAGUGCAUGGUUGUUUACUGGUGUUUUGAUUCUUUCGGUCUUCUUGGUGCUGCUUAUAUAAUAUUGUGUUGUUUCGGCAUCUUCUGUAUUUUCUUUCCUUUCUAUUUACUUUUUUAGUGCGCACACUUCAUUUUUUUCACAAAAAAGUAUUUGUUAUUAAAAAAAAAGCUUGAGUUUUUCAUAUCCAAAGGUUAUAUAUUUUUUUUACCAAAGACGUAAAUGCCCUCCAUAUGGCAUACUUUUUUUUUGUCUUGGUUCAAAGGUAAUUUGGUUUUUUAAACAAAAAAUUGAUAGCUAUGUAUUUAGAUAUUGUGAUUCAAGAACUAAAAUCAUUAAGAAAACAACAAAAUGAGGAAAAAACUACAAUCUUUUGCGACAAAAUUGGAAAAGCCUAGUUCUAUGGUUUGCUUAAAACAAUAAUUUAAAAUUUAGAUAUAAAAAUUUAACCAAAAUUUAAAAGGGAAUUAUUUUAGAAUGUUUUUUAUUUUUAAGAACAUAGUUUAAAAAAACAAAAUAUUUGACGUGCAUUAGUAUGGAAUAUCAUUUAUUGUCACUUUUCUCUUAAAUUAUUUCAAUUUCACUUUAGACAAACUAUCUAUCUUUGAAAAUUAAAAAAAUUUACAAAUCAUUGAUUAGUCAUUAUAAUUUCCAUGUAUCAAUAAUAUUUUACUUUUCAACCGUGGUUUCCACGGGUUUAAACCUAGUAUAUAAUAUAUGAAGGUCGGAAACAAUGCAAAUCAAUAUAAAAGAUAGGGUUUGAAUAUAAAAAUAAUAUGAAGGGGCUAAUGUUCUAAUUUGCUUCAAACGUAUUUAAAUCACAAUGAGACAAAUGUUUCCAUGGUAACCCGGGCCCUCAAGCAUCAGCACACCCCACUGUGUGGUUUGCCCGUACCACCGCACCAUGUAGUGGAUAAACUCCGACAAGUUGCCGUAACAGAAUGCAUCACAAAUAAUUUUUGCACCAUUUAAUUUAGCUUUUUCCAUACCCAUUGUUGAACAGACGCAAUUAAAGCUCAUAUUUUUAUGGUUUCACCAAAACAUAAUUAAUUUAAAUCCUACGUUACUUUAUCAUAAAUGUAGUUUAAUUGACUAAUUUUUUUGCUUUAAUGCUAUGAUCAAUCUUUCCUUAUAUUUAUACUCCAAAAGCAACAUAAAUAUUCAUUUAUUUGCCUUUUCAUUCUUGAUCUCUUUUCGGUGGUUUUAGAUUUAUUGAAGAACCGGAAGAACAUGACUUUUAUUCAUGCUAUUUACGUUGCAGUGAUGCUUCUUUUGAGUGGUGUGCAUGCUCGUCAUUGUAAUCCAAAUAAAGAUAUAAGUGAGUGUUAUCCAGCUCUAAUCACACAAGGAGUACCGUCUUCACAUUGUUGCUACGAAUUAGAUCACCAUAUGCAAUGCUUCUCUAAAUACAUUGACCCAAAUUACUCUCUACAUCCACCAAACUAUCCAUAUCUUCAGAAUAUUAGCGAAAUAUGUGACAUCUACUUCCCCAUUAGUCCUUCAUAGUAAUUUGGUACUAUUAUUCGUAUAUCGAUUAACAGUUACAUGUGAUAAAGGAAUAAAAAGUAUUCUAGAUGGCUUUGCAUUGAUGUCUUUUAUUUCUUUAUUGUUGUUAAAAUAAAUUUAUGAUUUUAGAAUACUUGUGACAAAAUUAAACACGGCCUAUACAAUCGUGUUGAAUGAUUGGUAUGCAUGUCCUUUUAAUUAAAACUUGUAUCUUGUACCUCUCUUUAGUUGGUCANCCUCCCAAGCUAAUUUUCCCGCUCAAAGUUACCAAGUGAAGUUCCUAAAUUACCCUUUGCUACUAUAAAUUUGGAAAAUCAACAUUAAAACUUAUCUUGAAAAAUGCUUCAACCUAAAAUCAGGAAUGAAAUCAACAAGAAUCUCGCCUAAGUUUUCUCAUCUUUCUUCCACCGUUUCAAUUAUAUAGUAAAGUGUUUACGCUUUUAUUUUCCCCUCAACUACAUAUCCCACAUAUCUGCAUCAUUCCUUCUAAAAUCACAACAACUCAUCACACGGAUCUUAUACAAAAUUGAAGGUAUAGGUUUUUUUUCACAGAUCCAUUCUACAUCGCUCCACCACCAUCGUCACCUCCAAUUGUUGUAUUGAUAUAGGUUUCUCUCUAUAUGAUUAAAUCUCAGUUUAUUACAAGUGGAGAUUCGUACUACACUUAUAAUUUCAGUUGUUUACUCAAAAUUUUGUGUUCUCUUGCCUUGCUUCAACCACAUGGAAGUGAAGAUCCGGUUUCCUUUUGUAGUUUCAUGCAAUUUUUUUGAACAUUCUCCAAACUUUUCUCCAUUUUCCUUUUGUCUGUCGGUUUUGAUACACCGAAAGAAAUGCAUAGAAAUGUUUUUUCCAUUGGACCUAUCUUGAACACCAUACGAAGCCUCUACCAUUGUCUCAAAAUGGUUUAAAUAUUAGUAAACGGUUCGAGAAGAUUCAUUGGCUUUUAAUCGAAAACUUGGUGUUCGAUGAAAUUACUUAAUGAGGUAACAAAUGUCUCC